GACGAACGCUGGCGGCGCGCCUAACACAUGCAAGUCGAACGGAGUCAAGAGGAGCUUGCUUUUCUUGACUUAGUGGCGAACGGGUGAGUAACGCGUGAGUAACCUGCCCUGGAGUGGGGGACAACAGUUGGAAACGACUGCUAAUACCGCAUAAGCCCACGGAUCCGCAUGGAUCUGCGGGAAAAGGAUUUAUUCGCUUCAGGAUGGACUCGCGUCCAAUUAGCUAGUUGGUGAGGUAACGGCCCACCAAGGCGACGAUUGGUAGCCGGACUGAGAGGUUGAACGGCCACAUUGGGACUGAGACACGGCCCAGACUCCUACGGGAGGCAGCAGUGGGGGAUAUUGCACAAUGGGGGAAACCCUGAUGCAGCGACGCCGCGUGGAGGAAGAAGGUUUUCGGAUUGUAAACUCCUGUCGUUAGGGACGAUAAUGACGGUACCUAACAAGGAAGCACCGGCUAACUACGUG
RNAcentral lists this ribosomal RNA (468 nucleotides) under uncultured bacterium. Its description in RNAcentral is "partial 16S ribosomal RNA". It matches the Rfam family "Bacterial small subunit ribosomal RNA", at positions 28 to 507 of the family's 1533-position model. The record is from RNAcentral.